AUGAAGAUCGGGAAGACUACGGAGAUCUUGAAGAAGGCGGCGGCGGUGUGCAAGAGCAAGACCGCCGGGCUCCUCAUCCUCGCCUCGCUUCAGCGCCGCAGAAUGGCCUCGGGCCCAAUGGUCUCUAAGAAGAUCCACGCACUCACUCUGGCCAACCGGCAGAGAGUGGACUAUCGCAAGGCUUCUCAGCUCGGCAGAAUCGAGAAGGGACCAGUCGACUUCGCGGCCAAUCUCUCUCAUCAGUUGGAGAUGUUGGGUCAAGAUGAUGGUCAUGGUGGCUGCCAAGCUGACUGGUCACUACAUCCCCUCUUCAACGACGACAAUGUCAACUGCUGUUACAGUGGUGACGAUGAUGAUGUGGAUGUGCUACUGGAUGCGUGUGAUCAAGACGACGAUGAUGAGUUGUCGGUCCUAGAUGUGAUCAGGAGCAAGAGAGAGGUUGAGGGGUUGGAGUUCAACAUGGAGGAAGAGAUUGACCAGGCUGCUGAUAUGUUCAUCAAUAGGUUCCGGCAACGGCUGAACAAUGGAUUCUAG
This 534-nucleotide ribosomal RNA is filed under the name Triticum aestivum (bread wheat). RNAcentral's name for it is "partial small subunit ribosomal RNA". The record is from RNAcentral. Lineage: Eukaryota; Viridiplantae; Streptophyta; Magnoliopsida; Poales; Poaceae.